Molecule: ribosomal RNA, 468 nt
Filed under: uncultured bacterium
Lineage: Bacteria
Description: partial 16S ribosomal RNA
Rfam family: Bacterial small subunit ribosomal RNA
Source: RNAcentral
GAUGAACGCUGGCGGCGUGCCUAACACAUGCAAGUCCAGCGAUUCUCUUCGUAGAAGAGCGGCGGACGGGUGAGUAACGCGUGGGUAACCUGCCCUGUACACACGGAUAACAUACCGAAAGGUAUGCUAAUACGAGAUAAUAUGCUUUUAUCGCAUGGUAGAAGUAUCAAAGCUCCGGCGGGACAGGAUGGACCCGAGUCUGAUUAACUAGUUGGUAAGGUAACGGCUUACCAAGGCGACGAUCAGUAGCCGACCUGAGAGGGUGAUUGGCCACAUUGGAACUGGGAAACGGUCCAAACUCCUACGGGAGGCAGCAGUGGGGAAUAUUGCACAAUGGGCGAAAGCCUGAUGCAGCAACGCCGCGUGAGCGAUGAAGGCCUUCGGGUCGUAAAGCUCUGUCCUCAAGGAAGAUAAUGACGGUACUUGAGGAGGAAGCCCCGGCUAACUACGUGCCAGCAGCCGCAGUAA